Molecule: long non-coding RNA, 571 nt
Organism: Lutra lutra (Eurasian river otter)
Lineage: Eukaryota; Metazoa; Chordata; Mammalia; Carnivora; Mustelidae
Exons: 4
Source: RefSeq, a predicted model, not a curated record
GAAUGUAUCUUGAGAGGACUGGAUGAACAUUGCCUAAUAGCACUAGACUCCUGCUGUAUGGGGGGCUAUUUCUCCUUCAUUCAUUGCCAGGGUUAAUGGCUAUGAUAAUUGAAGCCAGUUGUUUGGCUUCUGCUACAAAUGGAUCAGCAGGGAAGAAGGUACCAGUACUUUACUGCUGGAUGGGAGUGGAAGUGCAGGCCCCUGAGAUGGGUCUCCACUGACACCACGCCGGUGGGGAGUAGGAAAGAUUAUACCCGCAAACGGAUUAGAGAAUGUGGUCUUCUCUGCAGCGAGUCGAGGAGUCAGAAGGCACAUAUCACUUACCCACAGUUACCCAUGGUAGAUGGGUCCUCCCGCGGUAUGGUCAGAAAGUCAAUGGCAGCCCAAUGCCAUGUCACAGUGCCUAUGUCAUUCACCUCACUGCACCUCAUCACGUGGGCAUCUUAUCCUCGCACAUCAUCACAAGAAUGGUGUGUUCAGCACAGUAAGAUAUUUUCAGAGAGAGAGAGAGAGAGAGUCCGGUGUCUGGGAAGUACAAAUCAAAACCUCAAUGACAUAGCACCUACACCAG